Non-coding RNA from Pelobates cultripes (western spadefoot toad), 483 nucleotides. Lineage: Eukaryota; Metazoa; Chordata; Amphibia; Anura; Pelobatidae. The record is from the annotation of a GenBank genome assembly.
UGAUGAUCUCAGUCUAUUCAAUGCUUUCUUAUGGGAAAUCAUUGUGAUUGGCUGAGAACAUCAAUCCUGAUGAUGUCAGCCAAAAAGGUGGAUCAGAGGCGGGGCCAUACGUGAAAAUCCAGCUUGGCGCUGGAAAAAGGUGAGUAAAUUACCUUUCUAACCCCAGGUAAGGAGGGCUGACCACCUAAAAGGUGGUUUUACAUGAAUACAGACAAAUGAGACAACUGUUUCUUUCAUUUGAAAAGUGACACACAUUGGAUUGGUUGAGAUCAUAAAUUCUGAUGUCAGCCAAGGAAGUGGACAUGGGGCGGGGAAACUGCCCUGCGCUGAAAUAAGGGUUAGCAAACUACUUUUAUUUAAAUGGACAGGGAACAUAACAUGUGUUUUUAACACAAUAGGGUCAGGAAUACAGAUUUGUAUUGCAGACUCUAUCGUAUUCCUUUGAUGUUCAAAUGGAAUUAAAAAAAACAAAAUACAAACACA